RNAcentral lists this ribosomal RNA (254 nucleotides) under uncultured bacterium. Its description in RNAcentral is "partial 16S ribosomal RNA". It matches the Rfam family "Bacterial small subunit ribosomal RNA", at positions 524 to 776 of the family's 1533-position model. The record is from RNAcentral.
UACGGGGGGAGCAAGCGUUGUUCGGAUUUACUGGGCGUAAAGGGCGCGUAGGCGGCCAGCACAAGUCAGUUGUGAAAUCCCCGAGCUUAACUCGGAAAGGUCAACUGAUACUGUGCGGCUAGAGUGCGGAAGGGGCAACUGGAAUUCUUGGUGUAGCGGUGAAAUGCGUAGAUAUCAAGAGGAACACCUGCGGCGAAGGCGGGUUGCUGGGCCGACACUGACGCUGAGGCGCGAAAGCCAGGGGAGCAAACGGG